GGAGGAUUAGCUCAGCUGGGAGAGCACCUGCCUUACAAGCAGGGGGUCGGCGGUUCGAUUCCGUCAUCCUCCACCA
This 76-nucleotide transfer RNA is filed under the name Bacillus cereus. RNAcentral's name for it is "tRNA-Val". It matches the Rfam family "tRNA". Rfam says of the family: Transfer RNA (tRNA) molecules are approximately 80 nucleotides in length. RNAcentral also lists the same sequence under 6 other names. The record is from RNAcentral. Lineage: Bacteria; Bacillati; Bacillota; Bacilli; Caryophanales; Bacillaceae.